This 348-nucleotide unclassified non-coding RNA is filed under the name soil metagenome. RNAcentral describes it as "partial contains 5.8S ribosomal RNA, internal transcribed spacer 2, and large subunit ribosomal RNA". The stretch from base 1 to 120 matches the Rfam family "5.8S ribosomal RNA", at positions 35 to 154 of the family's 154-position model. The record is from RNAcentral.
GAUGAAGAACGCAGCGAAAUGCGAUAAGUAAUGUGAAUUGCAGAAUUCAGUGAAUCAUCGAAUCUUUGAACGCUCAUUGCGCCCGCCAGUAUUCUGGCGGGCAUGCCUGUCUGAGCGUCAUUUCAACCCUCAUGCCCCUAGGGCGUGGUGUUGGGGAUCGGCCAAAGCCCGCGAGGGACGGCCGGCCCCUAAAUCUAGUGGCGGACCCGUCGUGGCCUCCUCUGCGAAGUAGUGAUAUUCCGCAUCGGAGAGCGACGAGCCCCUGCCGUUAAACCCCCAACUUUCCAAGGUUGACCUCAGAUCAGGUAGGAAUACCCGCUGAACUUAAGCAUAUCAAUAAGCGGAGGA